UACGUAGGGCGCAAGCGUUGUCCGGAAUUAUUGGGCGUAAAGAGCUCGUAGGCGGUUGCGCGUCUGCUGUGAAAGCCCGGGGCUCAACCCCGGGUCUGCAGUGGGUACGGGCAGACUAGAGUGCAGUAGGGGAGACUGGAAUUCCUGGUGUAGCGGUGAAAUGCGCAGAUAUCAGGAGGAACACCGAUGGCGAAGGCAGGUCUCUGGGCUGUUACUGAUGCGAGGAGACGAAGCAUGGGGGAGCGAAACAGGA
Molecule: ribosomal RNA, 253 nt
Filed under: uncultured bacterium
Lineage: Bacteria
Description: partial 16S ribosomal RNA
Rfam family: Bacterial small subunit ribosomal RNA
Source: RNAcentral